RNAcentral lists this ribosomal RNA (445 nucleotides) under uncultured bacterium. Its description in RNAcentral is "SSU rRNA". It matches the Rfam family "Bacterial small subunit ribosomal RNA", at positions 26 to 518 of the family's 1533-position model. The record is from RNAcentral.
AGAACGAACGCUGGCGGCAGGCCUCAAACAUGCAAGUCUAGGGGGCGUAGCAAUACGUCACCGGCGGACGGGUGCGUAACACGUGGGAAUGUACUUACUGGUUCGGAACAACUCAGGGAAACUUGAGCUAAUACCGAAUGUGCCCGAAAGGGGAAAGAUUUAUCGCCAGUAAAUCAGCCCGCGUCCGAUUAGCUAGUUGGUGGGGUAAAGGCCCACCAAGGCGACGAUCGGUAGCUGUUCUGAGAGGAAGAUCAGCCACACUGGGACUGAGACACGGCCCAGACUCCUACGGGAGGCAGCAGUUGGGAAUCUUGGACAAUGGGGAACCCUGAUCCAGCCAUGCCGCGUGAGUGAUGAAGGCCUUCGGGUUGUAAACUCUUUCGACGGGGACGAUAAUGACGGUACCCGUAGAAGAAGCUCCGGCUAACUUCGUGCCAGCAGCCGC